This 534-nucleotide long non-coding RNA is filed under the name Bos grunniens (domestic yak). Its description in RNAcentral is "lncRNA (ENSBGRG00000001841.1)". Lineage: Eukaryota; Metazoa; Chordata; Mammalia; Artiodactyla; Bovidae. The record is from RNAcentral.
AUGCAGGGAGGGAAAAGUUCAGAAGCAGCUACAGGGGACAAAAGCCCAUUUUUACUAGUUCAACAGGACAGGACAUUCAAUAAACCCAGCCCGCUCUGGAAACGGGUCGGGGCUCCAGUUGGCUCCACAGAGGCAGAAGUAGCCCCUGCCGCCGCCCUCGCCACGGCAGCCGCCGCCGCCGCGGCCCCUGCGUUACUGGGGGAGACGGUGCCGCUGCGACAGGGGAGGACGCGGCUGGAGCUCAAGGAGGCUCCAUCGCGCAGGCGCCGCCGAGCCCUGCCUGGAUGCUCAGUCAAGGCACUAAGGCAAAAAAAAAAUCAGCAAUUUAUAGAAAGAAGAAGCUAUAGUCUGUCGGGAUAUCCAACACCAACAGUAGGGCUUAUUGAGAGCUCCAUUUCUGGAAAGCGUUGCAAGACUGAGGAAUAUCGGACUGCGAAUCACCGGGAACAGUUCCCUUGCAGCACAGAAGCAAUCUCUCUCCCCAUCUUCGCAUAUUCUGAUGGCAAAUCAAGUGAAAGAAAAGAGGAAGCAUGA